CUACGGAGGGUGCGAGCGUUAAUCGGAAUUACUGGGCGUAAAGGGUGCGUAGGCGGCUUGAUAAGUCGAAUGUGAAAGCCCCGGGCUUAACCUGGGAAUUGCAUUCGAUACUGUCAGGCUAGAGUAUGUCAGAGGUUGGCGGAAUUCCUGGUGUAGCGGUGAAAUGCGUAGAUAUCAGGAGGAACACCAGUGGCGAAGGCGGCUAACUGGGACAAUAUUGACGCUGAGGCACGAAAGCGUGGGGAGCAAACAGGAUUAGAAACCCUAGUAGUCC
Molecule: ribosomal RNA, 274 nt
Filed under: uncultured bacterium
Lineage: Bacteria
Description: partial 16S ribosomal RNA
Rfam family: Bacterial small subunit ribosomal RNA
Source: RNAcentral